ACUGAAGUACAGGGAACAUGAUGCAGAGUCAGUGCAAAACUGCUUAGAACAUGAAGUACUAGGUAACCAGAUAGUUUGAAUUUCUCACAUUUGUAAAAAUUAAUAAUCUUCUAACAUUAAUCUCUUAACAUUUCUGUAUUUCCCAGCCUGAAACUUGCUGUGAACGUUCUAUGGGUUUACAUCAGGAUUUUUUUCACAUUUACUGUAGCAGUAGGAUCAUGCUUCUUAAAGUGGAUGCAUUAAAUUGUAUUAAAUGGAUUGAAGGAAAGCCUGAGGAAUUUUUAGUUCAUACAGCCAAUAUACAAGAAGGAUAGAAAAAGACAUAAAGAAAAAGCAUCAGCCUUACACUAUUUGUUGCUUGUUGACAUCAAAAUGUUUAUGAUCCUAAACUCACAUUGUUUCAAAUAUUGCAUAAAUUAGCAAGCUGAGAAUGUCUGACAGAAUGUAAUUGCCUCAUGCCAGUUUGUGAGAAGUUUAUGCUGGAAACAGCUCCUCCCUGCCCCCCCAGCAAAAUCAUCAAUAAGCACGUUGAGCUGGACCUUAACUUGGAGUGGCUCACAUCUCCUGCCAGGGUUUUAUUCCCAGAAAACAAAAUAAAACAAAACCAACCACAGGUAGUUGCAAAGGAGCAAGACUUCACUAGCAAAUAA
This 650-nucleotide long non-coding RNA is filed under the name Parus major (Great Tit). RNAcentral describes it as "lncRNA (ENSPMJG00000001249.1)". Lineage: Eukaryota; Metazoa; Chordata; Aves; Passeriformes; Paridae. The record is from RNAcentral.